CAUUAUCCAUCUCACACACCUGUGCACAUACUGUAGGUCGCUUUUGAUUGGAGUGGGGUCUUCAUCGACUCUGCUUUUUAGUUGGGGCCUUCCUAUGUUUUAUCACACACUACUUCAGUUAAAAGAAUGUCCUCUUGCGUCUAACGCAUUUAAAUACAACUUUCAGCAACGGAUCUCUUGGCUCUCGCAUCGAUGAAGAACGCAGCGAAAUGGCGAUAAGUAAUGUGAAUUGCAGAAUUCAGUGAAUCAUCGGAAUCUUUGAACGGCACCUUGCGGCUCCUUGGUAUUCCGAGGGAGCAUGCCUGUUUGAGUGUCAUGGAAUUCUCAACUCUAUUUGCUUUUGUGAAUAGAGCUUGGACUGGGAGGGUUUAUUGCCGGUACCUGUGAUCGGCUCCUCUGGAAUGCAUUAGCUCGAACCUUUUGUGGAUCAGCUUAUCGGUGUGAUAAAAUGUCUACGCCGUUACUGUGAAGCAUAUUAUUCGGCUUCCAAUCGUCCUUC
This 499-nucleotide ribosomal RNA is filed under the name Fomitopsis pinicola. RNAcentral's name for it is "eukaryotic LSU rRNA". The stretch from base 158 to 316 matches the Rfam family "5.8S ribosomal RNA". The record is from RNAcentral. Lineage: Eukaryota; Fungi; Basidiomycota; Agaricomycetes; Polyporales; Fomitopsidaceae.